GGAAGAUGAUGUGAUGCAAUUUAUAUUACCAAAAGAGAUUGCCAGCAUGAAAUCUAAUAUAUUUAUGAAAUGAAAUUGUGAUCAGAAUAGUCAAAUUACAAUGUUUAAUAUAUGAACUUAUUCACAAACUUACGCCAAUGAACUGUUGUGGCUUUUUGAUCAGCACAGCAGAACCUUCUAAUUAUGCAGAUAGAUAAACUUAUUCACAAACUGAGAAAAAGAAAUCAGAAUUUAGUUAUGAUUUGUUGAUAGUUUUAUUGACAGUAGUGUUUUAUUGAAUUUAAAUUGACAAGUCGAAUUCCGGUGUAUGAACUACGAAGGACAUACAAAGAGUAAGAAGUUGAAGUAGCUGCCUGAGUCCUGACAUCACAAAAUGCACACCUCUCGACAAUGAUAUUCUCUGACUGAAACAAACUUUGUCCUGAUACUCGGUUUCCUUCAUUCAGCUGUCCGUUUCCAUCAAAGUCUGCUGUCUCAUCAUUCCUACUGCAUAAAUUAGAGUGAUGCCUUCCAGAAUGGUUCUGUGUUACAUUGAUUGAUUAUAACAGGCCAGUCUUAUUGAUGCAUCGGCUACUCAUUCUAAUGAAGAAAAGAUGGAGCCACCUGCGAAUUUUGCAUGUAGACUGUGAUCCAAACACCAUGGAAGCUCCCACCCACCACGAGGACAGAGGUUUUUUCUCGAGUUGGAUGCCAUUGAAUUCGACAAAAUUCCAUUUGAAAACAAAGUGGCAGCAUGUCAUUCAAUUUUUGAUCACUUCUUCUUAACACUUAAAAAAAGAAAUAAAAUGAAAACUGGAGUAAAAGGCCACAUGACAUCCUCACCGUGUAAUUGAUUGAUGCAAUUUAUCCAGCGCCUUCUUUUCUCAUGUCUCGCAUGAUAAUGAACACACGAUGUUUGGUAACGAAGUUCAGCCAAUAUUGCCUACGUCUCCGACUGCAGAGCAGCUGCAGUUCCUUUUUAUUAUGAGAGAAAGAGUAAUGUUUACAAUGCACAACGUGUGUAUAAAAACUAUUGUCCAGAUUACAACAUCAACCGUGAACCGUACCCCCAGUCGCCAUCACGCAACAAACUAUGAUACCAUUGUUCCUUAUGCUCCAUUCCCAGUCUUUACCCUCUUUGAACUUUGAAUUUUUUUCUUUAUCAUCAUCUACUCAUAUUUCCUCCAAUUCUUAUCACUUUGAGAACUAAGGCAGGUGUUCAAUUUGUUCUUUUUUCAUCAGUCUUCAAUUCAGCGAGAGAUUUGAAAUUGAAACCAUAUUGUCGACAACUUGAAGCAAAAAUGGCAUCUUUCCAUAAGCAUCACGGUAUCCGUAUGCUUCAUCCAAACCUACAAUAUAUGGUAGCAACAAUAACAUGUCAUUAUAUCCAAAUACUUCUGAUUAGGCUUUCUUUGAAGUGUAACCUGAAGGAUUUUUCAAGUAAUUAUCUCAUCAGCGGAUGUAUCCAUGAAUUGAUAAAGACAUGCACAUAUGCUUUUUUUGUAUGUAUUUUACACAAGAAAAAAUAGAGCAUUUACAAAUGGAAGAAAAAAUAUAAUAAAUAUGCAUUAACUUUCAACCAUACAAAGAUCCAUAUGAAUUUUUAAAACUGUGCAGCAAUUAGCUAAGUCUCCAAGAGAUAAUUACAGGCAUUCAUGAAAAGGUAUUGGAUUUUCCAUAAACGUCCGGGAGGUUAGCAAACAGAAGAAGCUCUUUCAGUUACUUGUUCUUCAGAUGCAAUCUCUCCUUGACACUGAUGAUGAGAUGGUUGAGAGGAUCUCACCAGCAGAAUGAGCAUCUACCAAUUUUGUACGUAGACUGUGAUCCAAACAUCGUCGAAGCUCCUGUCUACCAUGAGGACAGAGGUUUUUUCUCGAGUUGGAUGCCAUUGAAUGCACCAAAAUUCCCUUUGGCAACAAAGUGGUAUGUCUCAGGUUUUCUGAGCCGACACAAAAGGAAAAGAUUUCAAAAACUAUGGGACACAAAGUCGGAAGAAUAACAAAGGGGAAUUAUGCAUUUCAAUUCAAUAUGUUAUAUGACAAUUUGUUGCAGAUAACUUUGAAACAUAGCUGUCUCAUUGGUUAUAAUUAUUAUGCCAUCCAGCUGCAUUUUUCAAAGUAAAAUAAAUUUCAUGAUUCAAUCAGCGAUAUAACAAAGCUUUUAAUACAACUUUAGACAACUCAGUAGAAUUUUGAAUUAAGAGGUCAUGAUAUGUCCAUAUCAUUAUUGGCAAAAGUGUAUCCCCUAAAAAUAUCAAGAUUGGAUUAGAAGCAAUUAAAGGCAAGAAUUAAAGCUCUGCUAUAUGAUUUCUAUCAAACCAUUUUGUGUUUUUUUAUUGCUUCAGAAGACUAUCUGUUGGAAACUGGUUUUAAUUGUAAGAAUUCGAACUGAAACUCGAUUUGUGUCAGUUUACCUAAUCACCCAAAUGCAUUGCUUCCUUAUGUAUUUAAAACUACAGCCUAAGGCACAACCAUGGCACAAACUGGCUUAUUACUUACAGUAAAAAAUUUAAUGAAGACUCUCUUGGAUAAAAAAAAAAGGUUUGUAAUUUUUUAAGUAAUUUCAGAUAGGACACACAUUGACACAUAUAGAACACAGUCCAUAGAUAUUCUAAUGAUUAAAAGGUGGGAAGAAAAACACAUACAAAAAUAAGGGAAGAUAUUGACAACGAGUUUGUGAAAUUAGCAUCUGAUUUUGUUGAAAUUAAAAAAAAAAAAAAAUUGACAAAAUUAUCACAAUUCUAUCAAAUUAACCGUGAAUCAAAACAGAAUAGGUCGGUUAAUCCAAACAUGCACACAGAGAGUAAUUUACCUGAAGAGAAGAGAAAGAAGAUUAAUUGCAUCACCAUCACACUCCAAUAAAUAAAUCUUAACAAAAUCACCACAAUCCCAAACUCCCAUCACACCAUUCCAAACGCAGAAUCCCUCUUGACCUGGGAAAAUAAAUUGAACUCAGAAAAUAAGAAUAUAAAAUUUAAGAAAAUAAAUUUAUUAAAAAAAGAAAAAAUUAAGAAAAUAUUUGUUCGUACCUUCCGAACCAAAAAGAUUUGACCAAAAGUGGGACCCAUAACAUCUCAUUCCUGUUCAAUGAGGUCAAUUGUCACCAUAGGGAUGUGACAAAUUGUAUGCCAACGCUCUCCUCCCUCCUUUUCAUACUUCUCCUUUAUUAUUCCACAUUCUUCAAUCCGCAAAGUAUAAAGGGAGUUGGGUAGAUCCUCCUUCUCUGGCAAGCUCUCAAGACUAGGACAGUUCCAAAUAUAUAGGGAUUUGAGAGAUUUGAGGUGGAGAAAACCCUUUUUGUUCAUUAUUCUUAGCUUUGAACAAUUUCUCAAAUUAAGAUCAGUAAGACUUGGUGGCAGCAGAUUCUCCUCUGGGAAGGACUCCACAUUUUCAAACUCAUCACUAACAGAGAAUUCUAACAAGGAACUGAGUUGGAACAAACCCCACUCCUCUCUCGAACCAAUCAGUUUUGGGCAAUUGUAUAUUUUAAGGUUCCUCAAGUUGGAAGGCAAACCACCCAUUGGAAACGAUUCCAGCUCUGGACAAUCGUACAGAUACAGAUAAUGAAGUUUGGUGAACAAGUGUAGUGAAAAAGGCAAGGAGGAGGAGUGCCAUCCUUUUAUUGAAAGUGUAGAAAGGGAAUUAUAGCAACGUAAAUCCAAAGAAGGACAUUCCACAAAGCCAGUAAAAUCCAACACCAACUCUUCGAGAAAGGGAAAAUUGAUUACAUUUUGGUGCAAGGAGAACUCGGUGUACUGAUUAUAACAAAGGAAUAAACUUUUCAAGCUGGUCGGCAAUUCAUUUACCAAAAUUCUAUCACAUCUCUGUAUAUCUAACUCUAUCAUAUUAUCACACUUGGGAAUUGAUGCCUCCAUCUUGUUGCAAUAACCAAUCUUCAGUUUUUGUAAAGAAGGAAGGUGUUGAGGCAGCAAGGCCCUUAAGAAAAACAUUUAAGAGGAAUGUAACAGUUUACAUUGGUUUCCCUACCAAUGUUAACAUGGCAUGUUACCCAUAAGUAUGUUAGAACAGCAAACUGGUUCAAAAAUCAAAAAAUUAAAGAAACAGUAAACGCAAAUAAUGAACACACGAUGUUUGGUAACGAAGUUCAGCCAAUAUUGCCUACGUCUCCGACUGCAGAGCAGCUGCAGUUCCUUUUUAUUAUGAGAGAAAGAGUAAUGUUUACAAUGCACAACUUGUGUAUAAACACUAUUGUCCAGAUUACAACAUCAACCCUGAACCGUACCCCCAGUCGCCAUCAUGCAACAAACUAUGAUACCAUUGUUCCUUAUGCUCAUUUCCCAGUCUUUACCCUCUUUGAACUUUGAAUUUUUUUCUUUAUCAUCAUCUACUCAUCUUUCCUCCAAUUCUUAUCACUUUGAGAACUAAGGCAGGUGUAAAAUUUGUUCUUUUUUCAUCAGUCUUCAAUUCAGCGAGAGAUUUGAAAUUGAAACCAUAUUGUCGACAACUUGAAGCAAAAAUGGCAUCUUUCCAUAAGCAUCACAGUAUCCGUAUGCUUCAUCCAAAGCUACAAUAUAUGGUAGCAACAAUAACAUGUCAUUAUAUCCAAAUACUUCUGAUUAGGCUUUCUUUAAAGUGUAACCUGAAGGAUUUUUCAAGUAAUUAUCUCAUCAGCGGAUGUAUCCAUGAAUUGAUAAAAACAUGCACAUAAGCUUUUGUAUGUAUUUUACACAAUAAAAAAUAGAGAAUUUAUAAAUGGAAAAAAAUAAAAUAAAGAUGCAUUAAGUUUCAACCAUACAAAGAUCCAUAUCAAUUUUUAAAAACUGUGCAGCAAUUAGCUAAGUCUCCAAGAGAUUAAUGAUUGAAACUUACCUCAUGAUAAUUACAGGCAUUCAUGAAGAGGUAUUGGAUUUUCCAUAAACGUCCGGGAGGUUAGCAAACAGAAGAAGCUCUUGCAGUUACUUUGUUCUUGAGAUGCAAUCUCUCCUUGACACUGAUGAUGAAAUGGUUGAGAGGGUCUCACCAGCAGAAUCAGCAUCUACCAAUUUUGUACGUAGACUGUGAUCCAAACAUCAUCGAAGCUCCCGUCCACCAUGAGGACAGAGGUUUUUUCUCGAGUUGGAUGCCAUUGAAUGCACCAAAAUUCCCUUUGGCAACAAAGUGGUAUGUCUCAGGUUUUCUGAGCCGACACAAAAGGAAAAGAUUUAAAAAAAUAUGGGACACAAAGUCAGAAGAAUAACAAAGGGAAAUUGUGCUUUUCAAUUCAAUAUGUUCUAUGCAAUUAGUUGCAGAUAACUUUAUUAUGCCAUCCAGUUGCAUUUUUCAAAGUAAAAUAAAUUUCAUGAUUCA
This 5285-nucleotide long non-coding RNA is filed under the name Medicago truncatula (barrel medic). Its description in RNAcentral is "long non-coding RNA (MTRU_LNC000246)". The record is from RNAcentral. Lineage: Eukaryota; Viridiplantae; Streptophyta; Magnoliopsida; Fabales; Fabaceae.